CCACCCGAUCCCGUUAGUCGCCUCUUACGACAAGCAUGGGUUACUGAAGAUCAGUUGUAAUGCGGAACUUCACGGGUGGCCUCUGGAAGGAGUUUAUAUUGACUUUAUAUUGACGUAUGUACAUGAAUACUACUUCAAACAAGAACGAUAACUCCCUUUCUGUUUAAUUCCAGCAGCAAUAAACAUUACUGAAGCACUCAAAA
Molecule: long non-coding RNA, 203 nt
Organism: Haliotis rubra (blacklip abalone)
Lineage: Eukaryota; Metazoa; Mollusca; Gastropoda; Lepetellida; Haliotidae
Exons: 2
Source: RefSeq, a predicted model, not a curated record